This 543-nucleotide ribosomal RNA is filed under the name uncultured bacterium. RNAcentral describes it as "partial 16S ribosomal RNA". It matches the Rfam family "Bacterial small subunit ribosomal RNA", at positions 355 to 912 of the family's 1533-position model. The record is from RNAcentral.
UGGGGAAUAUUGCACAAUGGGCGAAAGCCUGAUGCAGCAACGCCGCGUGAGUGAUGAAGGUCUUCGGAUUGUAAAGCUCUGUCUUUUGGGACGAUAAUGACGGUACCAAAGGAGGAAGCCACGGCUAACUACGUGCCAGCAGCCGCGGUAAUACGUAGGUGGCGAGCGUUGUCCGGAUUUACUGGGCGUAAAGGGUGCGUAGGCGGAUGUUUAAGUGAGAUGUGAAAUACCCGGGCUUAACUUGGGUGCUGCAUUUCAAACUGGAUAUCUAGAGUGCAGGAGAGGAGAAUGGAAUUCCUAGUGUAGCGGUGAAAUGCGUAGAGAUUAGGAAGAACACCAGUGGCGAAGGCGAUUCUCUGGACUGUAACUGACGCUGAGGCACGAAAGCGUGGGUAGCAAACAGGAUUAGAUACCCUGGUAGUCCACGCCGUAAACGAUGAGUACUAGGUGUAGGAGGUAUCGACCCCUUCUGUGCCGCAGUAAACACAUUAAGUACUCCGCCUGGGAAGUACGAUCGCAAGAUUAAAACUCUAAAGUGAAUUG